UGGCUUCAAGUCUUGAGCUUCUGGAUUUGUUGUCAAAAGAUAUAACCAUCCAGUUCAUAUGUUCCUGCUGGUUAUCAUACUCGUCCUCCAAUUCUUUUGACUCAUUUUGUAAAUUGCUAAAUAUAUACAUAUAUAUAUACAUAUAUAUAUAGAUAUGUUAUAAAGAAAUGCAGCCCAAGAUAUGAUUGGAAGUAGUAUUAAUAAUAAUAAAAAUCUAGUAAGGUGUACAUACAUUAAAAUUCUCAUAUUUGCCAUAAACUCUGCAAAUUUAAUAUUAAUUUCACCAUCAGUAGUUUGAGCAUGAAUUGUGGCAAUUCUUAAAUCAACUUCUUGACAGUAGCUUUCCAAGUUGUUGAACAUUUUUAAAUAUAUCCCAAGUGUUAGGUGGAGCCCUGGUAUAGCCACCUAUAUAAAAAGUAAUAAAAAAUAGGUUUGCUGAAUUUUCAUAACAUUGCACGAAGUACAUUAUACUUACUUGUUCUAGGGGGAUGUUAAAGAAGCAAUCAUGUAUCACAUUUUGAUAGUGUUUGGCGUUUUU
Long non-coding RNA from Hydractinia symbiolongicarpus, 538 nucleotides. RefSeq lists it as uncharacterized. The record is from RefSeq and is a predicted model, not a curated record. NCBI's taxonomy places the organism in Eukaryota, Metazoa, Cnidaria, Hydrozoa, Anthoathecata, Hydractiniidae. The transcript is spliced from 2 exons.